ACCUUCGGGCCUCUUGCCAUCGGAUGUGCCCAGAUGGGAUUAGCUAGUAGGUGGGGUAACGGCUCACCUAGGCGACGAUCCCUAGCUGGUCUGAGAGGAUGACCAGCCACACUGGAACUGAGACACGGUCCAGACUCCUACGGGAGGCAGCAGUGGGGAAUAUUGCACAAUGGGCGCAAGCCUGAUGCAGCCAUGCCGCGUGUAUGAAGAAGGCCUUCGGGUUGUAAAGUACUUUCAGCGGGGAGGAAGGGAGUAAAGUUAAUACCUUUGCUCAUUGACGUUACCCGCAGAAGAAGCACCGGCUAACUCCGUGCCAGCAGCCGCGGUAAUACGGAGGGUGCAAGCGUUAAUCGGAAUUACUGGGCGUAAAGCGCACGCAGGCGGUUUGUUAAGUCAGA
RNAcentral lists this ribosomal RNA (398 nucleotides) under Escherichia coli. Its description in RNAcentral is "bacterial SSU rRNA". It matches the Rfam family "Bacterial small subunit ribosomal RNA", at positions 199 to 592 of the family's 1533-position model. Lineage: Bacteria; Pseudomonadati; Pseudomonadota; Gammaproteobacteria; Enterobacterales; Enterobacteriaceae. The record is from RNAcentral.